Molecule: Y RNA, 110 nt
Filed under: Carlito syrichta (Philippine tarsier)
Lineage: Eukaryota; Metazoa; Chordata; Mammalia; Primates; Tarsiidae
Description: Y RNA (ENSTSYG00000021556.2)
Rfam family: Y RNA
About the family: Y RNAs are components of the Ro ribonucleoprotein particle (Ro RNP), in association with Ro60 and La proteins.
Source: Rfam by way of RNAcentral
UGUUGGUCCGAGUACAGUGGUGUUUGCAUCUAAUUGAUCACAACCAGUUACAGAUUUACAGAUUUCUUUGUUCUUUCUCCACCCUCAUUACUUCACUUGACUAGCCAAAA